UUUGCUCUAGAUGUCACACUAGGGUUUUCAUUUAGUGGAUCUCCAAAGUUUCAGUAGGAUGUCACACUAAGAUCUCCUUUUAGUGGAUCUCCAAAAUUUGUUUGGAUGUCACACUAAGAUUUUCCUUCAUAGAACUCUUAGAUGUAUCAACAGAUAGUUAAGAUACCGAUUUCUUUUUUUUCUGUGCUUUGUAGAUUCACCAGUUAGUGGGAUUCUGGCUGCUUCAGAAUUUCUACAGUUAUUUCUUGGGCUCAGGCUACUACAGGAAGAGGAUCCGAGCUUUAGCCAGUUUACUGCCUCAGGAGACUUUGGUUCUGAUUUCAAGAGGAGCUGGAUAUUUGUUCGCGAGCCACCUCAAGAGACUUCUGCUUCAGGUACG
Molecule: long non-coding RNA, 379 nt
Organism: Dendrobium catenatum
Lineage: Eukaryota; Viridiplantae; Streptophyta; Magnoliopsida; Asparagales; Orchidaceae
Exons: 3
Source: RefSeq, a predicted model, not a curated record